GAUCAUGGCUCAGGAUGAACGCUAGCUACAGGCUUAACACAUGCAAGUCGAGGGGCAUCAGUUUGGUUUGCUUGCAAACCAAAGCUGGCGACCGGCGCACGGGUGAGUAACGCGUAUCCAGCCUGCCUACCACUUGGGGAUAACCUUGCGAAAGUAAGACUAAUACCCAAUGACAUCCCACGAAGACAUCUGAAUGGGAUUAAAGAUUUAUCGGUGAUGGAUGGGGAUGCGU
RNAcentral lists this ribosomal RNA (232 nucleotides) under uncultured bacterium. RNAcentral describes it as "partial 16S ribosomal RNA". It matches the Rfam family "Bacterial small subunit ribosomal RNA", at positions 15 to 236 of the family's 1533-position model. The record is from RNAcentral.